CCCAGCACCGAAUCCUUCACCAUUCUGGUGACAGGAAAUGUGGUGUUUAGGCCGUACUUUGUCCUGAUACGUCUCUCCUCAAGUCCACUUGAUUGUGGCCCCCGGCCCAGAGAGGGUGUAAGGCCCGUGGAGGCGAGAUGUUCAGUACCUGGUGCGUCCUUAGAGUCGGGUUGUUUGGGAAUGCAGCCCUAAGCGGGUGGUAAACUCCAUCCAAGGCUAAAUACCAGCACGAGUCCGAUAGCGAAGAAGUACCGCGAGGGAAGGUUGAAAAGAACUUUGAAGAGAGAGUUCAAGAGUACGUGAAACCGCUGAGAGGCAAACUGGUGGAACUGAAAUGGUCCCGAGGAAUUCAKCCGUUGGUGUUUGUACAGUCGGUGGUGUCUGAUUUAACGACAGCUCCAUCGGAUGACGCUUUCAUCAUCGGUGCACUUUCCUCGUUGUGGGCCCGACCACGACCGGUGAGCUGCUCUGUCCAUCGUGCUUGGAAGGUAGCGCCGUCUUCGGAUGGCGUAUUAUAGACUUGUGCGUGGAGCAGUACGGCACACUGGACGAUAGUGCCUGCCCUUGGGCUCAUAUGGUGGCUGUUUUACUGGCGAGCUCUGAUGUCACUACUUCGGUAGAGGCGUUGGACUCUGUCUGCAUUAUGGUUGUCCUCUAUGAUUGGCACUGGUAAGUCUGUGGUUGUGAAGUAGGUAGUCCACCUGACCCGUCUUGAAACACGGACCAAGGAGUCUAACAUGUGCGCGAGUCAUUGGGUUCACGAAACCUAAAGGCGCAGUGAAGGUGAAGAUCUGUUUUGGCAGAUUGAGGUGGGAUGCUGGGUUACGCGCCCGGCCGCACUACCGGCCCGUUCUACAUGUAUCUCAUGGGGGCGGAGCAAGAGCGUACACGUUGGGACCCGAAAGAUGGUGAACUAUGCUUGCGCAGGUCGAAGCCAG
RNAcentral lists this ribosomal RNA (938 nucleotides) under Pseudoceros jebborum. RNAcentral's name for it is "partial large subunit ribosomal RNA". It matches the Rfam family "Eukaryotic large subunit ribosomal RNA", at positions 108 to 855 of the family's 3401-position model. Lineage: Eukaryota; Metazoa; Platyhelminthes; Polycladida; Pseudocerotidae. The record is from RNAcentral.